This 613-nucleotide long non-coding RNA is filed under the name Polistes fuscatus (common paper wasp). RNAcentral's name for it is "uncharacterized LOC122515133". The record is from RNAcentral. Lineage: Eukaryota; Metazoa; Arthropoda; Insecta; Hymenoptera; Vespidae.
GGUCAAAUUGCAAAGUUUAGUAGGCGGUGUUCUAUCUUAAAAGUUUUGUUGAAGUGAUUAAAAUAAUGUUUAAUUUUAUUAAAAUAAUCGAAAAAAGAAAAAUAUAUUAUAAAUAUAACAUUUUUAAAACCAGUAAUCAUAAAAAGAAGAGCUGAAGCUGAAAAGAGAGAGAGAAGCUGAAGAGAAAGGAAAAUUCUACAAGAAAGAAGACGUAUACAACCAAUGAUAAUCUGCUCUACAAAAUUAAAGAAAACUCUCCAAAAAGAAUGAAUCUCUACAUGAAUCUACAAACAUGAUCGAACAUCUUCUACGGUAACGCUUCGAAGAAAAAUCUCCUGCUGGUACGAAGAAGAAGAUGGGAUGGAUACUGAUAAGGAUUCCAAGGUUUUCUAAUGAUCAGCGGAUGAAAAAAGAAGACGAGAUGACUUUCUCCGUAAGCCGCAGAGGAGAGGAGAAUCCCUAAUGGCAGGAAACAAAACUGUACAAUUGGUAUGUUAGGAAUUUUUCUAAUAUUCUUUCAGAGAUAAUGGUGGCUCGAUAUGCAAAUAAUAUUUGCAAUACUUACAAAAUCUUACUCUCAUAAAUGCUGAAAGGAGUAUCGAAACAAGUAUGG